UACGGAGGUCUCAAGCGUUGUUCGGAUUCAUUGGGCGUAAAGGGUGCGUAGGUGGCGCGCUAAGUCGGGUGUGAAAUCUCGGAGCUUAACUCCGAAAUUGCAUUCGAUACUGGCGUGCUUGAGGACUGGAGAGGAGACUGGAAUUCAUGGUGUAGCAGUGAAAUGCGUAGAUAUCGUAAGGAAGACCAGUGGCGAAGGCGGGUCUCUGGACAGUUCCUGACACUGAGACACGAAGGCCAGGGGAGCAGACGGG
This 253-nucleotide ribosomal RNA is filed under the name uncultured bacterium. RNAcentral's name for it is "partial 16S ribosomal RNA". It matches the Rfam family "Bacterial small subunit ribosomal RNA", at positions 524 to 776 of the family's 1533-position model. The record is from RNAcentral.